RNAcentral lists this ribosomal RNA (463 nucleotides) under uncultured bacterium. RNAcentral's name for it is "partial 16S ribosomal RNA". It matches the Rfam family "Bacterial small subunit ribosomal RNA", at positions 28 to 507 of the family's 1533-position model. The record is from RNAcentral.
GAUGAACGCUGACAGAAUGCUUAACACAUGCAAGUCUUUGGCGAAGCUGUGCUUGCACAGCCUAGCCAAGGCGGACGGGUGAGUAACGCGUAAGGAACUUGCCCUGCAGUCAGGGAUAACAGACGGAAACGACUGAUAAGACCUGGUAAAGUCAGGCGGACUCAUGUCCAGCCUGAUGAAAAGUGAUGCUGCAGGAGAGCCUUGCGUCCUAUUAGCUUGUUGGUGGGGUAACGGCCCACCAAGGCGAUGAUAGGUAGCCGGCCUGAGAGGGUGGACGGCCAAAAGGGGGACUGGGUACGGGCCUUACUCCUAACGGAGGCAGGAGUGGGGAAAAAUGGGCAAAUGGGGCAACCCUGAUCCAGGAAAUCUGUGUGGAAGAUUAAGGGUUUCGGAUUGUAAAGUGCUUUCAGCAGGGAAGAAAAAAAUGACGGUACCUGCAGAAGAAGCGACGGCUAAAUACGUG